This 497-nucleotide ribosomal RNA is filed under the name uncultured bacterium. RNAcentral describes it as "partial 16S ribosomal RNA". It matches the Rfam family "Bacterial small subunit ribosomal RNA", at positions 28 to 507 of the family's 1533-position model. The record is from RNAcentral.
GAUGAACGCUGGCGGCGUGCCUAAUACAUGCAAGUCGAGCGAACAGACGAGGAGCUUGCUCCUCUGACGUUAGCGGCGGACGGGUGAGUAACACGUGGAUAACCUACCUAUAAGACUGGGAUAACUUCGGGAAACCGGCGCUAAUACCGGAUAAUAUAUUGAACCGCAUGGUUCAAUAGUGAAAGACGGUGUUGCUGUCACUUAUAGAUGGAUCCGCGCCGCAUUAGCUAGUUGGUAAGGUAACGGCUUACCAAGGCGACGAUGCGUAUCCGACGUGAGAGGGUGAUCGCCCACCCGGGAGCGUAGACACGGUCCAGACUCCUACGGGAGGCAGCAGAAGGGAAUCUUCCGCAAUGGGCGAAAGCCUGACGGAGCAACGCCGCGUGAGUGAUGAAGGUCUUCGGAUCGUAAAACUCUGUUAUUAGGGAAGAACAAAUGUGUAAGGAACUAUGCACUGCUUGACGGUACCUAAUCAGAAAGCCACGGCUAACUACGUG